This 229-nucleotide ribosomal RNA is filed under the name uncultured bacterium. RNAcentral's name for it is "partial 16S ribosomal RNA". It matches the Rfam family "Bacterial small subunit ribosomal RNA", at positions 568 to 796 of the family's 1533-position model. The record is from RNAcentral.
UACGUAGGCGGCGUUGUAAGUCAGAGGUGAAAUCCCACAGCUCAACUGUGGAAUUGCCUUUGAUACUGUAAUGCUUGAAUCAGGUUGAGGUCGGCGGAAUGUGGCAUGUAGCGGUGAAAUGCUUAGAUAUGCCAUAGAACACCAAUUGCGAAGGCAGCUGGCUAGACCUGUAUUGACGCUGAGGCACGGAAGCGUGGGGAGCGAACAGGAUUAGAUACCCUGGUAGUCC